Molecule: ribosomal RNA, 496 nt
Filed under: uncultured bacterium
Lineage: Bacteria
Description: partial 16S ribosomal RNA
Rfam family: Bacterial small subunit ribosomal RNA
Source: RNAcentral
GAUGAACGCUGGCGGCGUGCCUAAUACAUGCAAGUCGAGCGAACGGACGAGAAGCUUGCUUCUCUGAUGUUAGCGGCGGACGGGUGAGUAACACGUGGAUAACCUACCUAUAAGACUGGGAUAACUUCGGGAAACCGGAGCUAAUACCGGAUAAUAUUUUGAACCGCAUGGUUCAAAAGUGAAAGACGGUCUUGCUGUCACUUAUAGAUGGAUCCGCGCUGCAUUAGCUAGUUGGUAAGGUAACGGCUUACCAAGGCAACGAUGCAUAGCCGACCUGAGAGGGGGAUCGGCCACACUGAACUGAGACACGGUCCAGACUCCUACGGGAGGCAGCAGUAGGGAAUCUUCCGCAAUGGGCGAAAGCCUGACGGAGCAACGCCGCGUGAGUGAUGAAGGUCUUCGGAUCGUAAAACUCUGUUAUUAGGGAAGAACAUAUGUGUAAGUAACUGUGCACAUCUUGACGGUACCUAAUCAGAAAGCCACGGCUAACUACGUG